GACGAACGCUGGCGGCGUGCUUAACACAUGCAAGUCGAACGGAAAGGCCCUGCUUUUGUGGGGUGCUCGAGUGGCGAACGGGUGAGUAACACGUGAGUAACCUGCCCUUGACUUUGGGAUAACUUCAGGAAACUGGGGCUAAUACCGGAUAGGAGCUCCUGCUGCAUGGUGGGGGUUGGAAAGUUUCGGCGGUUGGGGAUGGACUCGCGGCUUAUCAGCUUGUUGGUGGGGUAGUGGCUUACCAAGGCUUUGACGGGUAGCCGGCCUGAGAGGGUGACCGGCCACAUUGGGACUGAGAUACGGCCCAGACUCCUACGGGAGGCAGCAGUGGGGAAUAUUACACAAUGGGCGGAAGCCUGAUGCAGCAACGCCGCGUGCGGGAUGACGGCCUUUGGGUUGUAAACCGCUUUCGCCUGUGACGAAGCGUGAGUGACGGUAAUGGGUAAAGAAGCACCGGCUAACUACGUG
RNAcentral lists this ribosomal RNA (468 nucleotides) under uncultured bacterium. Its description in RNAcentral is "partial 16S ribosomal RNA". It matches the Rfam family "Bacterial small subunit ribosomal RNA", at positions 28 to 507 of the family's 1533-position model. The record is from RNAcentral.